AUGUUUAGGAACCAAUGAAAAUCAUUCUUAUUAGAACAAGAACUAUAGAUAAAAUUUGAUAGGAUGUAUCAGAUAAUACAGUUUAUACAUGGAUAUAAGGUUGAGAGAUUCUUACUAAGAAUUGUAAUAUAAAGACAAGUUUAUACUGAUACAUGCACUUAUAUAAGGAAUCAAUUUUGUAUACUGUAAAAGUGGAAUCGCUUAUUUCGCGACCAUUAAAUAUCCGAGAAAUAAUCCACCUGCGAACAUAAUGACAAAUGUGAAAAUAUUGACACGCGAAUAUUUCAACCAAAUAAACUAAAUACCAUAAAAUCCAAGACGCAAGUUCCUGGUGGUUUACCGUAUGGCGGCGUUCAAGUGUCCUAUCGUCUGUGAUGUGUAACAUCAUGAGGGCAUGCAUGGCUAUACUAAUUUAAGUAAUGUGUAAAAUGAUUGUAUCUAAUUCAAUAUUAAUUUAUCAUUAAAUUCUUCAUUUCGUGAUAAUAUUGUUAUCGUAACUACGUUAAUGUAACUGUACAGAUUAAUCCCGGUAAUCUGUUUUAUUUGAAUCAGAAACUAUUGAUACAUUAUUGCAAUGAAUGGCCCGUUCAUUAUAUACAAAAGGGCUACUGUAGAAAUAGUUAUAUAUGUUGGAGAAUUAGGUCAGAACAUCAUGAUAAAUAUGUCUGCUUUUGAAUUGCCCAGUCGUAUUUAAUUAUCUACCAAACUUAUUUGAUACCUGCAAAAUAAACCACCGCUGAUUGAGAUGUCUGUGUUUGUUUUGACUGGACAUGUGUGCUUAUCACGUCACUCAGCAUGACCUGACCGCCAACCCUUUCAACUUUACCGCGGGCGACACCUCACGUGGCCUGUCUAUACUUAGCGUGAGGGAGUAGGUUUACAGAUUUCAUUCCUGAGAGCGAGGAGGGAAUAUUACAGUUUUCCCCACCAAGUUGGGAAUGCAAAGAAUGUGGAAAUUGUUUAAACAACUCUCCUGUCACAGAGGACUGGCUCACUUUUCCUGAAGUUGAUGUGAUAACACGAAAUUAUGUCGGAAUUGGUAGAGGCGUCCCUUGUUCACCUUCUACCAGGCUUUAGUUUCUGACCACCUAGACAGGGGAAACAACAUUGAGGAUAUUCUUACUUACAAUAAGCUGAGAUGUGCAUGGAAUGCAUUUAUCAAGCUACUGGAUCUUGACUUUCAGCAGGGAUUUUGUUGCCAUCACUGUAAUGAUGAUGGGAAUGGGGCCCCCUCCACUGUCAUCUGUGACGGUACUUCCCUGUCAUUCCAAAGAAGAAUGUGGAAAUGGGAAAAAGAGACUUUUUCCGAAAAACAUCAUGCACCAGUUCUUGGUUUUUCAGAAAGGAUUUGUAUUCCCGAUGUAAGAUCUCGGAACCUUCUGAAACGAUAUGCUGCUGGUGGACACAAGGGACAAAAAGUUUUGUCUGACAAUGAAAAAGGAGAACUCUUUUUAUUGUUAAAAAAAACUCAUUUGCAUCUUCACAACUUCUUGAAUUUCGCCAAUGAAAAUCACUGUAAUGUCAGCGACUUCUUAUCAUCCUUAUCAUCACCGUCGCCUGUGUGUGCAUACAUUCGGCCAAAUAAAGAUGUUGAGCACAUUUUAAUCCAAAUACUGAAAGGAACUGACCUGAGAAAAGAACUUGGCCAAUGGCAAAAACUGCACCAAGAAUGUCCCAUUCUUUUCGAUCUCCUGAAAGAUCAAUACAUAUUGAUGACAGAGUCAGCAUCCUUCAUAAAUCUCAUGGUGGAGUUAUGGAAUAAGGCCUGUGCUCCAUUUGUGUUUGCAGCUGACCUCUCCAGCACUGGAAAGGAUCAUGUUGUAGAUGAACAAGAAAUGAGCUUCUUUCCAUCCCUGACAAAGUCAGGAACAGAGGCAGCUUUCCAGCAGACAGACAAAGGAAAGAGCCAGUCUGUGAUAAGAAAUAUAGAGGGCAUCCUACUCUACUGCCAGGCAUUUUCACAAUGUUUUGCCCUCAUGGAGUAUGUCUUGGAUUUGAAUUGAUGCCCUUCUGUGAGUCACCUAAUGUGCCUUUCUCGAUCUUCAGGACAAGAUUCCAGUCAGCUCCUAAAGUGGUUGUAUAUGACAAUGCAUGUUCACUACAUGCCUAUUGCCUGAACAGGGAUCCAUUAUUUUUUGAGAAUACAGAGUUCUAUGUGGAUCGACUUCAUUGGGAUAAUCACAAGAGUUGCAGUAGUGGUUACUGUCUGGACAGAUCAAUCAAACAUGACAAACUCAACAGUCAAGUCAAUGAACAAGCCAACUCUGGCUUGAAGCGCAUCAAAGACCAACUCUCUUACAUGACAGCCGAGAACUUUAUGACUCAUUGUUCAUUCUAUUUGUGGAACAAAAACCAAAAUAAGCUGAGGAUUCUAAACUGAUGUUUGAUUCCUUUUUGUGGAAACUACCAGCCAUUGAUUUGAGAGAUGAUUCAGUGAUUUGAGAGAACAUUUAUUCAUCCAAUUUUGUUGUGAAUCUGAGACUUCUAGCAGUACAAAUAACAAUUCCUUUAUUGAAAUCACCAUGACUCAUUUAAUGAUGUUACUUCUACAAAAUGUAAAUGUUGCUAUUGUUACAUUUUGUUAUUCUAAAGUGUAAUAUAUAUAUCCAUACAUUCACAAAAGAAAUGCUUCAUCCAAUUAUAUAUCAGUAAUCGAUGCAUGUGAUAUUUCUUUCAAUCUAUUUUUCAAACGACAUACAUGUAGUUCAAUAUAGAUACAACUUUUAUUUUUUAUAAUGACGAGAGUAAUAAAAUUAACUUUGCUCAAUAUUAAUAUUUGGAAACUCAUAGAAAUUGUCAUAGCCCAGGAAAAAUUAUGCAAAUGAUAUGGAUGAUUAAUUUAAUACUUUGUGCAUGUCAAAUAUCAGUUUAGAAAUUCAUGAUGUGUCAAAAGAAGUAUAUGUAUAGGACUAAUAAACAUGACUCAAACAUUA
This is an RNA transcript of Pecten maximus, 2933 nucleotides long. RefSeq lists it as uncharacterized. The transcript is spliced from 7 exons. The record is from RefSeq and is a predicted model, not a curated record. Lineage: Eukaryota; Metazoa; Mollusca; Bivalvia; Pectinida; Pectinidae.